RNAcentral lists this ribosomal RNA (164 nucleotides) under uncultured bacterium. RNAcentral describes it as "partial 16S rRNA". It matches the Rfam family "Bacterial small subunit ribosomal RNA", at positions 355 to 511 of the family's 1533-position model. The record is from RNAcentral.
UAGGGAAUCUUCCACAAUGGGNGAAAGCCUGAUGGAGCAACGCCGCGUGUGUGAUGAAGGGUUUCGGCUCGUAAAACACUGUUGUAAGAGAAGAAUGACAUUGAGAGUAACUGUUCAAUGUGUGACGGUAUCUUACCAGAAAGGAACGGCUAAAUACGUGCCAC